AGGCAACCUCCUUUUAAUAAAAUCUCAAUGAAAAGGAAGGUGUUAAUCCGGUCGGAUAUAAAUAUCUUUUGCUCUUCAGAUUCGCUGAGACCAUAUGGUUUUUGAAGCUGGUCUAGUAAGCACAAGUACAUU
This is a small nucleolar RNA of Erigeron canadensis, 132 nucleotides long. RefSeq annotates it as small nucleolar RNA snoR77. The transcript has a single exon. NCBI's taxonomy places the organism in Eukaryota, Viridiplantae, Streptophyta, Magnoliopsida, Asterales, Asteraceae. The record is from RefSeq and is a predicted model, not a curated record.